RNAcentral lists this transfer RNA (73 nucleotides) under Dictyocaulus viviparus (bovine lungworm). It matches the Rfam family "tRNA". Rfam says of the family: Transfer RNA (tRNA) molecules are approximately 80 nucleotides in length. Their secondary structure includes four short double-helical elements and three loops (D, anti-codon, and T loops). Lineage: Eukaryota; Metazoa; Nematoda; Chromadorea; Rhabditida; Metastrongylidae. The record is from Rfam by way of RNAcentral.
GACUCAAUAGUGUAAUGGAUCAGAAUAUCAGACCGGAUAUCUGUAACUGCGGGUUCGAGUCCCGCUUGAGAUU